This is a long non-coding RNA of Poecilia latipinna (sailfin molly), 1455 nucleotides long. RefSeq lists it as uncharacterized. The record is from RefSeq and is a predicted model, not a curated record. NCBI's taxonomy places the organism in Eukaryota, Metazoa, Chordata, Actinopteri, Cyprinodontiformes, Poeciliidae. The transcript is spliced from 4 exons.
AGUAGGGGUUCAAAGUUGGCAACAGUAGCAGGACAUCCUUAAAGUUAGCCAUGAAACACCACAUGAUUAUCACAGGCUUUUGUUUGACAUUUAUGAUCACAAGACUUUCAGGUGCUUCACUCAGUGACGAAGUCCAUCAGACUCCAUCUGACUUGUACAAAAAACAGGAGCAAACAGCAGAAAUCGAUUGCUUGCACAAUAUCAACAACUACGAUCGGAUCCUGUGGUACAAACAGACAGCGGACAGGCGGAUGGAGUUUCUAGGAUACAUGUUAGCAACCAUCGGCUACCCGGAGGAAGGAGCGAAAGUAAAGAUCGAGGGGAAUGCCAACAAGGGCCAGACCUGCACGCUGACGAUAGACAGGCUCGACAUGAACAGCAGUGCAGUUUACUUCUGCGCUGCCAGUUACCACAGUGCAACAUGCAAAAAGUCCUCAGCACAAAAACCUCUAGCUUUUGUUUACCCGUCUCUCAGGUCCAUGCACCUGUCUGAUAUCAACCUGUUUAUCGAGGUUUGGAUCUUUCUGUUGAGGCACUGAGGUACAUGAGGGAGGUGAACACAUGCUGCGGUUUGAAUUUUUGGUAGAGGAGGAACCUCGUAGACACCACCCACGUGUUGAGAGAGGAAGAAAUAGCUCGAAGGGACAUUUGGAGACUUUUAUAGUCAUAAAGGAACAAAAUGAUCGCGGUUCUUUUUUGUAUUACUUUGAGCGCAGCAGCGUCAGGUUCACUUCAUGAGAAAGUCCACCAGAAUCCGCCUGACAUUCACAAGAGUCCCGGAGAAUCUGCCAAAAUCAGCUGCUCGCACAAAAUCGACAACUACGAUGAAAUUCGUUGGUACAAGCAAACAUCCAACGGCGGACAGCUGGAGUUCCUCGGACGGGUGGAGAACAGCUUCAAGUACCCGGAGACAGACGUGAAUGUGACUUUGGAGGGAAGUGCAGAUAAAGGCCAGACCUGCACCAUAACAAUCGAAGGACUCACCUCCAGGAGCAACGCGGUUUACUUCUGCGCUGCUCGCUACCACAGUGCUGAAAGUUAUUAUUCCUCAACACAAAAACCUCAGCGUUUCCGCUUUGUAUUAUUUAUAUCCAGCCAUUAGGUGGCGGCAUUUCUCCAGAUCCAGUGUGGUGACAUUGUGGGAAGUAACUUACGAAGAGGAGGCUGACCUGUGACAUCACAUGCCUGAUGAGGGUAUAUAAUGUGUUUGGUAUUGUAGGAGUGAAUCCUUACAGAUGUGAUGUAAGGGGAAACAGUGAAUUAUAUCAGUAGCAUUGCAGUUUUUUAUUAACCAAAUGUUUUGGGAUCAAGAAAUGCUCCUCAUCCUUUUUAUUUGCUUUAGUUGGAAACCGUUGCUGGUUUCAGGUUCCACUCUAAGUGACAAAGUCCAACAAUCUCCACCAGAUAUCUACAAAUCUUCAGAAAAGGAAGCUAAAAUUGAGUGUUUGCACAAUA